Molecule: ribosomal RNA, 411 nt
Filed under: uncultured bacterium
Lineage: Bacteria
Description: bacterial SSU rRNA
Rfam family: Bacterial small subunit ribosomal RNA
Source: RNAcentral
CAGCAGCCGCGGUAAUACGGGGGGAGCAAGCGUUGUUCGGAUUUACUGGGCGUAAAGGGCGCGUAGGCGGCCACCGCAAGUCGACUGUGAAAUCUCCGGGCUUAACCCGGAAAGGUCAGCCGAUACUGCGGGGCUAGAGUGCAGAAGGGGCAACUGGAAUUCUCGGUGUAGCGGUGAAAUGCGUAGAUAUCGAGAGGAACACCUGCGGCGAAGGCGGGUUGCUGGGCUGACACUGACGCUGAGGCGCGAAAGCUAGGGGAGCGAACGGGAUUAGAUACCCCGGUAGUCCUAGCCUUAAACGAUGAAUGCUUGGUGUCUGGGGUUUUAUAGUCCCCGGGUGCCGUCGCUAACGCUUUAAGCAUUCCGCCUGGGGAGUACGGUCGCAAGACUGAAACUCAAAGGAAUUGACGG